RNAcentral lists this ribosomal RNA (256 nucleotides) under uncultured bacterium. Its description in RNAcentral is "partial 16S ribosomal RNA". It matches the Rfam family "Bacterial small subunit ribosomal RNA", at positions 524 to 776 of the family's 1533-position model. The record is from RNAcentral.
UACGUAGGGUGCAAGCGUUGUCCGGAAUUAUUGGGCGUAAAGAGCUCGUAGGCGGUUUGUUGCGUCGGCUGUGAAAUCCCGAGGCUCAACCUCGGGUCUGCAGUCGAUACGGGCGGACUUGAGUGUUGCAGGGGGAGACUGGAAUUCCUGGUGUAGCGGUGAAAUGCGCAGAUAUCAGGAGGAACACCGGUGGCGAAGGCGGGUCUCUGGGCAACUACUGACGCUGAGGAGCGAAAAGCGUGGGGGAGCGAACAGG